GAGCUGGACAAGUUGCAAACUGCAAACUUUGAUCAGAAGAUUGGUGUCCAGAUUUUAAGAAUGCUCUUAAGGUUUUUAUCUUUUGUUCUAGUCAAAACACAAAAACUUCAGUUUUAUGGAAUCAAUAGCAAGCACAAAUAGUCAGUCACACAGCAAUUCCAUCUAACUCUUUUUGGGUGAAAAAGAACUUGUUACGUAUCAGAGGAGGAAGU
Molecule: unclassified non-coding RNA, 212 nt
Filed under: Hevea brasiliensis (rubber tree)
Lineage: Eukaryota; Viridiplantae; Streptophyta; Magnoliopsida; Malpighiales; Euphorbiaceae
Source: RNAcentral